RNAcentral lists this ribosomal RNA (117 nucleotides) under Oncorhynchus mykiss (rainbow trout). The record is from RNAcentral. Lineage: Eukaryota; Metazoa; Chordata; Actinopteri; Salmoniformes; Salmonidae.
GCUUACGGCCACACCGGCCUGAGUACGCCUGAUCUCGUCCGAUCUCGGAAGCUAAGCAGGGUCGGCCUGGUUAGUACUGGAUGGGAGACCGCCUGGGAAUACCAGGUGCUGUAAGCU